RNAcentral lists this ribosomal RNA (264 nucleotides) under uncultured prokaryote. Its description in RNAcentral is "partial 16S ribosomal RNA". It matches the Rfam family "Bacterial small subunit ribosomal RNA", at positions 917 to 1178 of the family's 1533-position model. The record is from RNAcentral.
GGGCCCGCACAAGCGGUGGAGCAUGUGGUUUAAUUCGAAGCAACGCGAAGAACCUUACCAGGUCUUGACAUCCUUUGACCACUCUAGAGAUAGAGCUUUCCCUUCGGGGACAAAAGUGACAGGUGGUGCAUGGUUGUCGUCAGCUCGUGUCGUGAGAUGUUGGGUUAAGUCCCGCAACGAGCGCAACCCUUAUGUUAGUUGCCAUCAUUUAGUUGGGCACUCUUAGCGAGACUGCCGGUCGAACGAAACCGGAGGAAGGUGGGG